This is a long non-coding RNA of Sphaeramia orbicularis (orbiculate cardinalfish), 126 nucleotides long. RefSeq lists it as uncharacterized. The record is from RefSeq and is a predicted model, not a curated record. NCBI's taxonomy places the organism in Eukaryota, Metazoa, Chordata, Actinopteri, Kurtiformes, Apogonidae. The transcript is spliced from 3 exons.
GUCUAUUUUUAAACUGUUUGGUGUCACUCACUGCUCUAUGUUUUACACCCCAUUCCACAGGGGGCAGGGUGAACUGAGCAUGCUCAGAUGUCUAUGGAAAGAACAAGGUCUAUUCUAUCAACACGA